Molecule: ribosomal RNA, 307 nt
Filed under: uncultured Desulfobulbus sp.
Lineage: Bacteria; Pseudomonadati; Thermodesulfobacteriota; Desulfobulbia; Desulfobulbales; Desulfobulbaceae
Description: bacterial SSU rRNA
Rfam family: Bacterial small subunit ribosomal RNA
Source: RNAcentral
GGGUUAAGUCCCGCAACGAGCGCAACCCUUGCCUUUAGUUGCCAGCAGUUCGGCUGGGCACUCUAAAGGGACUGCCGGUGUUAAACCGGGAGGAAGGUGGGGAUGACGUCAAGUCCUCAUGGCCUUUAUGACCAGGGCUACACACGUACUACAAUGGCCGAUACAAAGGGCAGCGACACGUGCGAGGUGAAGCCAAUCCCGUAAAAUCGGUCUCAGUCCGGAUUGGAGUCUGCAACUCGACUCCAUGAAGUUGGAAUCGCUAGUAAUCGUGGAUCAGCAUGCCACGGUGAAUACGUUCCCGGGCCUU